Molecule: ribosomal RNA, 377 nt
Filed under: uncultured bacterium
Lineage: Bacteria
Description: bacterial SSU rRNA
Rfam family: Bacterial small subunit ribosomal RNA
Source: RNAcentral
UAAUACGUAGGGUGCGAGCGUUAAUCGGAAUUACUGGGCGUAAAGCGUGCGCAGGCGGCUUUGCAAGACAGAUGUGAAAUCCCCGGGCUCAACCUGGGAACUGCAUUUGUGACUGCAAGGCUAGAGUACGGCAGAGGGGGAUGGAAUUCCGCGUGUAGCAGUGAAAUGCGUAGAUAUGCGGAGGAACACCAAUGGCGAAGGCAAUCCCCUGGGCCUGUACUGACGCUCAUGCACGAAAGCGUGGGGAGCAAACAGGAUUAGAUACCCUGGUAGUCCACGCCCUAAACGAUGUCAACUGGUUGUUGGACGGCUUGCUGUUCAGUAACGAAGCUAACGCGUGAAGUUGACCGCCUGGGGAGUACGGCCGCAAGGUUGAA